AACGAACGCUGGCGGCGCGCCUAAUACAUGCAAGUCGAGCGAGAAGACGUAGCAAUACGUUUGUAAAGCGGCGAACGGGUGAGGAAUACAUGGGUAACCUACCCUAGAGUGGGGAAUAACUAGCCGAAAGGUUAGCUAAUACCGCGUACGCUCCUUGGACUUCGGUUCAGGGAGGAAAGCGAUACCGAGGGUAUCGCGCUCUUGGAUGGGCUCAUGUCCUAUCAGCUUGUUGGGAGGUAACGGCUCACCAAGGCUUCGACGGGUAGCUGGUCUGAGAGGACGAUCAGCCACACUGGCACUGCGACACGGGCCAGACUCCUACGGGAGGCAGCAGUAAGGAAUAUUGCGCAAUGGGCGAAAGCCUGACGCAGCGACGCCGCGUGGGGGAUGAAGGUCUUCGGAUUGUAAACCCCUUUCGGGAGGGAAGAUGGAACGAGCAAUCGUUCGGACGGUACCUCCAGAAGCAGCCACGGCUAACUUCGUGCCAGCAGCCGCUGUAAC
RNAcentral lists this ribosomal RNA (501 nucleotides) under uncultured bacterium. RNAcentral describes it as "bacterial SSU rRNA". It matches the Rfam family "Bacterial small subunit ribosomal RNA", at positions 29 to 524 of the family's 1533-position model. The record is from RNAcentral.